This 262-nucleotide ribosomal RNA is filed under the name uncultured bacterium. RNAcentral's name for it is "partial 16S ribosomal RNA". It matches the Rfam family "Bacterial small subunit ribosomal RNA", at positions 90 to 354 of the family's 1533-position model. The record is from RNAcentral.
CAUGAGUGGCGGACGGGUGAGUAACGCGUGGCAACCUGGCCUGUACAGGGGGAUAACACUUAGAAAUAGGUGCUAAUACCGCAUAACGGGGGAAGCCGCAUGGCUUUUCCCUGAAAACUCCGGUGGUACAGGAUGGGCCCGCGUCUGAUUAGCCAGUUGGCAGGGUAACGGCCUACCAAAGCGACGAUCAGUAGCCGGCCUGAGAGGGCGGACGGCCACACUGGGACUGAGACACGGCCCAGACUCCUACGGGAGGCAGCAG